GGAAUAUUGGACAAUGGGCGAAAGCCUGAUCCAGCCAUGCCGCGUGUGUGAAGAAGGCCUUCGGGUUGUAAAGCUCUUUUGUCAGGGAAGAAACGGUUCAAGCUAAUAUCUUGAGCUAAUGACGGUACCUGAAGAAUAAGCACCGGCUAACUACGUGCCAGCAGCCGCGGUAAUACGGAGGGUGCAAGCGUUAAUCGGAAUUACUGGGCGUAAAGCGCGCGUAGGUGGUUCGUUAAGUUGGAUGUGAAAUCCCCGGGCUCAACCUGGGAACUGCAUUUGUGACUGUAUAGCU
This 292-nucleotide ribosomal RNA is filed under the name uncultured Chaetoceros. Its description in RNAcentral is "partial Bacterial small subunit ribosomal RNA". It matches the Rfam family "Bacterial small subunit ribosomal RNA", at positions 358 to 642 of the family's 1533-position model. Lineage: Eukaryota; Bacillariophyta; Thalassiosirophyceae; Chaetocerotales; Chaetocerotaceae. The record is from RNAcentral.